CAAUAGCGUAUGUUAAAGUUGUUGCGGCUAAAAAGCUCGUAGUUGGAUUUCUGUUGAGGACAUCUGGUCCGCUCUAUGAGCGUGUAUCUAGUUUGGCCUCGGCAUCCGCUCUGCAUACGUUUCUGCGCUUGAUUGCGUGGAGCGGAGGUAGGGCCUUUUACUUUGAGGAAAUUAGAGUGUUCACGGCAGGCAGUCGCCCUGAAUAUAUUAGCAUGGAAUAAUAACAUAGGAUCUUGGUUCUAUUUUGUUGGUUUCUAGGACUAAGAUAAUGAUUAAUAGGGACAAUUAGGGGCGAUUCGUAUUGUCGGUGGUCAGAGGUGGGAAAGUUACUUUGGUAGUUAA
This 342-nucleotide ribosomal RNA is filed under the name uncultured eukaryote. RNAcentral describes it as "bacterial SSU rRNA". It matches the Rfam family "Eukaryotic small subunit ribosomal RNA", at positions 592 to 933 of the family's 1831-position model. The record is from RNAcentral.